AGUGAACGCUGGCGGUAGGCCUAACACAUGCAAGUCGAACGGCAGCACAGUAAGAGCUUGCUCUUACGGGUGGCGAGUGGCGGACGGGUGAGGAAUACAUCGGAAUCUACUUUUUCGUGGGGGAUAACGUAGGGAAACUUACGCUAAUACCGCAUACGACCUACGGGUGAAAGCAGGGGAUCUUCGGACCUUGCGCGAUUGAAUGAGCCGAUGUCGGAUUAGCUAGUUGGCGGGGUAAAGGCCCACCAAGGCGACGAUCCGUAGCUGGUCUGAGAGGAUGAUCAGCCACACUGGAACUGAGACACGGUCCAGACUCCUACGGGAGGCAACAGUGGGGAAUAUUGGACAAAGGGCGCAAGCCUGAUCCAGCCAUACCGCGUGGGUGAAGAAGGCCUUCGGGUUGUAAAGCCCUUUUGUUGGGAAAGAAAAGCAGCAGGUUAAUACCCCGCUGUUCUGACGGUACCCAAAGAAUAAGCACCGGCUAACUUCGUG
This 492-nucleotide ribosomal RNA is filed under the name uncultured bacterium. Its description in RNAcentral is "partial 16S ribosomal RNA". It matches the Rfam family "Bacterial small subunit ribosomal RNA", at positions 29 to 507 of the family's 1533-position model. The record is from RNAcentral.